UACGAAGGGGGCUAGCGUUGUUCGGAUUUACUGGGCGUAAAGCGCACGUAGGCGGAUCGGUAAGUCGGGGGUGAAAUCCUGGAGCUCAACUCCAGAACUGCCUUCGAUACUGGCGAUCUUGAGUGCGGAAGAGGUGAGUGGAACUCCUAGUGUAGAGGUGAAAUUCGUAGAUAUUAGGAAGAACACCAGUGGCGAAGGCGGCUCACUGGUCCGGUACUGACGCUGAGGUGCGAAAGCGUGGGGAGCAAACAGG
Molecule: ribosomal RNA, 253 nt
Filed under: uncultured bacterium
Lineage: Bacteria
Description: partial 16S ribosomal RNA
Rfam family: Bacterial small subunit ribosomal RNA
Source: RNAcentral